UACUUCCUCCCUGUCUGAAUCUAGUUGAUGAUCCCUGGUCUAGGGGGCUACUUCCUCCCUGUCUGAGUCUAGUUGAUGAUCCCUGGUCUAGGGGACUACUUCCUCCCUGUCUGAAUCUAGUUGAUGAUCCCUGGUCUAGGGGGCUACUUCCUCCCUGUCUGAGUCUAGUUGAUGAUCCCUGGUCUAGGGGGCUACUUCCUCCCUGUCUGAGGGGCUACUUCCUCCCUGUCUGAGUCUAGUUGAUGAUCCCUGGUCUAGGGGGCUACUUCCUCCCUGUCUGAGUCUAGUUGAUGAUCCCUGGUCUAGGGGGCUACUUCCUCCCUGUCUGAGUCUAGUUGAUGAUCCCUGGUCUA
Long non-coding RNA from Oncorhynchus keta (chum salmon), 353 nucleotides. RefSeq lists it as uncharacterized. The record is from RefSeq and is a predicted model, not a curated record. The transcript has 2 exons. Lineage: Eukaryota; Metazoa; Chordata; Actinopteri; Salmoniformes; Salmonidae.